UGGGGAAUUUUCCGCAAUGGGCGAAAGUCUGACGGAGCAAUGCCGCGUGGAGGUGGAAGGCCUACGGGUCGUCAACUUCUUUUCUCGGAGAAGAAACAAUGACGGUAUCUGAGGAAUAAGCAUCGGCUAACUCUGUGCCAGCAG
Molecule: ribosomal RNA, 144 nt
Filed under: uncultured bacterium
Lineage: Bacteria
Description: partial 16S rRNA
Rfam family: Bacterial small subunit ribosomal RNA
Source: RNAcentral